RNAcentral lists this ribosomal RNA (350 nucleotides) under uncultured bacterium. Its description in RNAcentral is "bacterial SSU rRNA". It matches the Rfam family "Bacterial small subunit ribosomal RNA", at positions 355 to 697 of the family's 1533-position model. The record is from RNAcentral.
UGGGGAAUAUUGCACAAUGGGGGAAACCCUGAUGCAGCCAUGCCGCGUGUAUGAAGAAGGCCUUCGGGUUGUAAAGUACUUUCAGUUGUGAGGAAGGCGUUGGAGUUAAUAGCUUCAGCGUUUGACGUUAGCAACAGAAGAAGCACCGGCUAACUCCGUGCCAGCAGCCGCGGUAAUACGGAGGGUGCGAGCGUUAAUCGAAAUUACUGGGCGUAAAGCGCAUGCAGGUGGUUUGUUAAGCAAGAUGUGAAAGCCCGGGGCUCAACCUCGGAACAGCAUUUUGAACUGGCAGACUAGAGUACUGUAGAGGGGGGUAGAAUUUCAGGUGUAGCGGUGAAAUGCGUAGAGAU